RNAcentral lists this ribosomal RNA (400 nucleotides) under uncultured bacterium. RNAcentral describes it as "bacterial SSU rRNA". It matches the Rfam family "Bacterial small subunit ribosomal RNA", at positions 356 to 773 of the family's 1533-position model. The record is from RNAcentral.
GGGGAAUAUUGGACAAUGGGCGAAAGCCUGAUCCAGCCAUGCCGCGUGAGUGAUGAAGGCCUUAGGGUUGUAAAGCUCUUUUAGUGGGGACGAUAAUGACGGUACCCACAGAAAAAGCCCCGGCUAACUUCGUGCCAGCAGCCGCGGUAAUACGAAGGGGGCUAGCGUUGUUCGGAUUUACUGGGCGUAAAGCGCACGUAGGCGGAUCGUUAAGUCGGGGGUGAAAUCCUGGAGCUCAACUCCAGUACUGCCUUCGAUACUGGCGAUCUUGAGUCCGGAAGAGGUGAGUGGAACUCCUAGUGUAGAGGUGGAAUUCGUAGAUAUUAGGAAGAACACCAGUGGCGAAGGCGGCUCACUGGUCCGGUACUGACGCUGAGGGGCGAAAGCGUGGGGAGCAAAC